AAACUGCAUUAUAUUCAUGAUGAUGUUUUUUCUGCAAAAGUGUUUCUUGACACUUGUUUGUUUUUUGUGAGAUCUGACGGCGAAAUUGCCUUUAAAUUUAUUGGUUGUCUCCAUUUCGGUCACUUCAAUAAAUUAAACUGCAGAUAAGUGAACUUCAUCCCAAAAAUUUCAAAAUGGUGUUCUUGCAAGUGGGGGUGUAAUGUUUCAAAGACGAACUUAACUUACAGCUUCUCUUCAAUAUGAAGAACUAUGCUCAUCUGGCUUGCCUGAAUCUGGAUCAAGUCGUAUGUUCCAAGCUCUGAAUAAAGCUGGUUGGUAAAUACUGAAAUGCCACGCUUGAAUGAUUUCAUAUCGGAAAAUUAUUUUACGUGAUAAAAUCAAUAGGUGAACUGAAUUAAAAAUUUGCAAUCUGAGACUUGUGUUUAGAAAUGUUCAUUCUUUUGCUGUAUACUUAGACUGAAAAUUAAUUUCAAAUUAACCGGUAGUAAAUAGUUCUGUAUCAUUCUAUAAGGGAACUUCAAUGUAGCAACGCAUUUGAAUUCUCCAUAAAACUUCUAAGCAUUAAAGUUAAAAUUUUCAGUAUACUUUGAAUUUUCAAAUAGUUCAAAUGAAACGGACGUACACGGAGAACUACACUUAUCAAGUCACUUAAAGGUAAAUGUUGAUGUUAAAUGCAGGAGCCGGAAUUCGAUUACGGUUCAAAGCCUAAAUUAACAGCUGCAUAUCGAUGCAAAUCUUUUAGUAAUUGUAUUCUAAAUGAAUCGGGCAUUGAGUACUGCUUAAUAUUUACUUCAGCGAUCAUAUUGCCCGAAAUUCAGAUCACUAAUUGAAAUUCUUGGAACUUUCUCGGAACUUUCUCAUUGUGCUAUUUUGAUCAAAUGGCCAAGUUAAUUGGCCGAUUUUGUUAAUGAACAAUCAUAAGUUCACCGAUUACGAUUAUCAUAUUCCAAAUGAAAGGCUGCCGUGCAAAUAAUUCAAGCCAAGUUUCGAACUUCAUAUCGAACAAAUAUCUCAAAUUAUUUCAGUAAUAGCCGAUUCUUCCUAAAUUUCGAUUUUCAAGCCAGAAUUACCUUAUUCUUUCCAAUCAAGACUCGAAAAUGUAAAGGCCAUGUCAAAUUAUGACUUUUACAAUCUCUGCCAAAGAAUCCCCUUAAAGUUUUUAUUU
Long non-coding RNA from Argiope bruennichi, 1165 nucleotides. RefSeq lists it as uncharacterized. Lineage: Eukaryota; Metazoa; Arthropoda; Arachnida; Araneae; Araneidae. The record is from RefSeq and is a predicted model, not a curated record. The transcript is spliced from 3 exons.